This is a long non-coding RNA of Oncorhynchus tshawytscha (Chinook salmon), 1126 nucleotides long. Lineage: Eukaryota; Metazoa; Chordata; Actinopteri; Salmoniformes; Salmonidae. The record is from Ensembl.
UCCAGACUAAAAGGACCAAACUAGGACUAGAAGGACCAGACAAGGACUAAAAGGACCAGACUAGGACUAAAAGGACCCAGACUAGGUCUAAAAGGGACCAGACUAGGACUAAAAGGGACCAGACUAGGACUAAAAGGACCAGACUAGGACUAAAAGGACCAGACUAGGACUAAAAGGACCAGACUAGGACUAAAAGGACCAGUGUAUUGUAGUGUUUGGCUGAUACAGUACACACACACACACACACACCAUUUCAAUCGAUAAGAUCUUUAUCAGGUUCAGUGGGUUUAGAUCAGGUAGGUACAAGCAUCUAAAAUACAUAUACAACAAUAACACUCUCAACUAGCAUCAAUCUAAUCUAAGGUCUAAUGUCAAUAAUGAUAUCUACUCAUUAUCAAUCCUCUAUCCACAUGAUCAACCGUUGGCUUUGAACUAUGAAAAACAAACAAGCUACUUAAAAGUUGCAGACUUUAAAAAUAAAAAACCUCAAAACCUGUCAAGCCUCUUACAUCAUUCUUCGUAAAAGACGAAAAGUAAGCAUUGUAAAUACGUUGACGUUUUAUUUUUUAGCUAAUCACAACAAUACUACUAACGUAUCACAAGGAGAACAAACUAAAGAUAUCAUAUUCCACAGAGGAGUGUCCUCUACUUCCUGUUUCUGAUACUGACUCUGGGCUACUGUAACUGCUGUUAUCUCUACUGUCCAGACUCAGUCAGGUCCAGGUUGGUACUCUACUGUCCAGACUCAGUCAGGUCCAGGUUGGUACUCUACUCUACUGUCCAGACUCAGUCAGGUCCAGGUUGAUACUCUACUGUAUCUGCUGUUAUCUCUACUGUCCAGACUCAGUCAGGUCCAGGUUAGGACUCUACUCUACUGUCCAGACUCAGUCAGGUCCAGGUUGAUACUCUACUGUAUCUGCUGUUAUCUCUACUGUCCAGACUCAGUCAGGUCCAGGUUGGUACUCUACUCUACUGUCCAGACUCAGUCAGGUCCAGGUUGGUACUCUACUGUAUCUGCUGUUAUCUCUACUGUCCAGACUCAGUCAGGUCCAGGUUGGUACUCUACUGUCCAGACUCAGUCAGGUCCAGGUUGGUACUCUACUCUACUGUCCAGACUCAGUCAGGU